AUUAUGACCAUGAUUUAGGCUUCUCUGCAACUUUCUCUCUGACCUGUCUGUUGAGAUGCUUUGUCUUUGUAAAGAUGAUUGUUAAUUAAUUUUCUCUAACAAUUCUCUGUAAAGGCCUCUGAGGUCUUCAGAGAGACUUCAAAUGGGCUCUACUUACUUGCACUGGAUUUUAUUUACAGUUUUUCUCAAUUGCUUGAACACUAAACACUAUUUUCAGAACCAAAUGCUGAACCCACGGAUUAAAUCAGUCACUCUUGCAAAAGCAAAAGCAUCAGCAAUUUCACCUGUUUAGACACAACUUGCCAACACAUUUCAAAUGUGAUGCACCUGUGUUGCAUAAUAGUGAGCACAGGUGUCACCAGUUAAACACAAAACUCAAAAUUGAUCACACUUGUGGCAAAUGAUGUGAGGGAACAUAUAUAAGCCAGUGCAGAGAGCACUGUUUUGUGAGGCACUACAAUGGAUAGAAAUCUAAGAGGAGGGGUUUGUUUGAGAGGUGGUCGAGUUGGUCAGCGAAGACAAAGAACAGUAAUAUCUGAUGAAAUCAGAGCUACUGUUAUUGACCAUGUUCUUGUCCAUGGUAUGAGCAUGAGGGAGGCCGGACAACGGGUACAACCAAACAUCAGUACAUUCACUUUGUCCACCAUAAUCCGAAGAUUUAGAGAGGAGAACAGAGAGUCUUUCAACUGGAUGUAAUGGAAAGGCCCCAUGAAUACGUCUACAUGGAUUAAUCUCAACAAAAGGAGAAGAAGAAGCCAUUGCAUGAUUGGCCAACAGGCCACUGUUGGUGUCCCUGGGCAACGUGGUGGCAUCAUGGGGUUGUCCACCAUCAUGCCAACCUGGGGCCCUACAAUACUCACCAGCUCCUCAUUUUCCUCAAUCACAUGCAAGAUGCUCUGUUAGGGCAGCAGGAUGAACAUCCCAUUUAUGUUGUGAGUUUUCACAGAGCCCUCCAAGUUAGAGAGUGGUUCAAUAUGAACCAAGGUUUUAUCAAUCUUUGCCUUCCACCGUACUCUCCUUUCCUGAACCCCAUUGAAGAAUUAUUCACCUCGUGGCGGUGGAAGGUAUAUGAACACCAGCCUUACCCCAGGGUAAAUCUCCUGCAAGCCAUGGAACUAGCCUGAGGUCAUCAGUAUGGAGCCAUGCCAAGCCUGGAUACAGCAUGCCAGGGGUAUUUUCUACCGUUGCCUGGCCAGACAAAAUGUGGCCUGUGAUGUGGAUUAGGUCCUGUGGCCUGACCCAGUUAGGAGAAAUACAGUAUUUUUCAAUUGCUUAGACACCUACAUACCAUCCUCAAAGCCAGUUUUUCAGUAGCCAAACCAAGGUAUCAAGUCAGUCCCCUUGUGAUCAAAACCAAAAGCAUGUUUCACAUCACUAGACACUGCUUGCAAAAUGGUAAACACAUGCUGCACACUUUGGUCACAAUAAGGGCACGGAUGUCAGCAGCUAAACACAAUGACUCAAAAUUGAUUCCACCUUUGGCUAAUGAUAAAAGAACCAAUAUAAGCCAGUUGAGGAAGAUGUGGAAGGUCAAGGUUUUGCAAUGGAUAGAAGAAAGCAGAGAGGAAGACAAAGAGUACGCGUGAGAGCCUGAAUCCAGCAUGCUAGUGGCUUUUUCCUUUGUUGUUUGGCCAGGGAGAAUGUGGCCUGACCCAGAUAGAGGACACAAUGUAGCCGAAUGACUUAUUGCAUGUAGCUCAUGAUGAACUUCUUUCUUUUUUCAUUUUAUGUUUUUAAACAGUAUUUUUACUUGUACUUUAUGUUAUAAUAACCUCUACAUGGAUAUGGGUUUUCUGUGGGUUGUGACAUGAUGCAUUUGGCCUGCUGUGAAUAAAUACAAAACAUUAUUUUGACAGCA
Long non-coding RNA from Girardinichthys multiradiatus, 1858 nucleotides. RefSeq lists it as uncharacterized. NCBI's taxonomy places the organism in Eukaryota, Metazoa, Chordata, Actinopteri, Cyprinodontiformes, Goodeidae. The record is from RefSeq and is a predicted model, not a curated record. The transcript is spliced from 2 exons.